CCGAGUUAGGGUCUCACCGGCCCGAUCUCCCAACCCUUUGUCUACUUGACCAUCGUUGCUUCGGCGAGCCCGUCCUCACGGACCGCCGGGGGGUCUCUGUACCCCUUGGCCCGCGCUCGUCGAUAGCCCCCCCAAAAAAUAAUCUUAACUAAACGUGUCUUGAAUCUAAGUAUUAUUGUUAAAUAAAAACA
Molecule: unclassified non-coding RNA, 191 nt
Filed under: uncultured Exophiala
Lineage: Eukaryota; Fungi; Ascomycota; Eurotiomycetes; Chaetothyriales; Herpotrichiellaceae
Description: sequence contains ITS1
Source: RNAcentral